GAAGCAGAGGGGGCUUAGUGGUGGGGUGACUGCGUACCUUUUGUAUAAUGGGUCAGCGACUUAUAUUCUGUAGCAAGGUUAACCGCAUAGGGGAGCCGGAGGGAAACCGAGUCUUAAUUGGGCGUUAAGUUGCAGGGUAUAGACCCGAAACCCGGUGAUCUAGCCAUGGGCAGGUUGAAGGUUGGGUAACACUAACUGGAGGACCGAACCGACUAAUGUUGAAAAAUUAGCGGAUGACCUGUGGCUGGGGGUGAAAGGCCAAUCAAACCGGGAGAUAGCUGGUUCUCCCCGAAAGCUAUUUAGGUAGCGCCUCGUGAAUUCAUCUCCGGGGGUAGAGCACUGUUUCGGCCAGGGGGCCAUCCCGGCUUACCAAUCCGAUGCAAACUGCGAAUACCGGAGAAUGUUAUCACGGGAGACACACGGCGGGUGCUAACGUCCGUCGUGAAGAGGGAAACAACCCAGACCGCCAGCUAAGGUCCCAAAGUCAUGGUUAAGUGGGAAACGAUGUGGGAAGGCCCAGACAGCCAGGAUGUUGGCUUAGAAGCAGCCAUCAUUUAAAGAAAGCGUAAUAGCUCACUGGUCGAGUCGGCCUGCGCGGAAGAUGUAACGGGGCUAAACCAU
This 621-nucleotide ribosomal RNA is filed under the name Salmonella enterica. Its description in RNAcentral is "partial 23S ribosomal RNA". It matches the Rfam family "Bacterial large subunit ribosomal RNA", at positions 568 to 1190 of the family's 2925-position model. The record is from RNAcentral. Lineage: Bacteria; Pseudomonadati; Pseudomonadota; Gammaproteobacteria; Enterobacterales; Enterobacteriaceae.